Non-coding RNA from Acanthosepion pharaonis, 96 nucleotides. The record is from the annotation of a GenBank genome assembly. Lineage: Eukaryota; Metazoa; Mollusca; Cephalopoda; Sepiida; Sepiidae.
CUAAAACAACGAUUCCCAUACAAUCACCGAAGUUAAGCAACUUCGAGUCUAGUCAGUAUUUAAAUGGGUAACCGCUUGAGAGUACCUGGUGCUGUU